CACUUGGGGACCAGGAGGUGACAGCGGCUGGUGGGCAGCAGGACAGUGCUGGGGAGCCGUCCCCGAGGGCAGCUGGUGGCCGGGUGGCUGAUUCCCGGAGGAAAAUCCACUUCAAGGUGAUCCGGAGCCCCGGGGACCUCCUGCAGUUCAUCGAGGAGCUCAAGGAGACCACCAGGAAGGUGGGGAC
This is a long non-coding RNA of Neopelma chrysocephalum (saffron-crested tyrant-manakin), 187 nucleotides long. RefSeq lists it as uncharacterized. The record is from RefSeq and is a predicted model, not a curated record. NCBI's taxonomy places the organism in Eukaryota, Metazoa, Chordata, Aves, Passeriformes, Pipridae. The transcript is spliced from 3 exons.